This is a non-coding RNA of Sphaerobolus stellatus SS14, 82 nucleotides long. NCBI's taxonomy places the organism in Eukaryota, Fungi, Basidiomycota, Agaricomycetes, Geastrales, Sphaerobolaceae. The record is from the annotation of a GenBank genome assembly.
GCAUCUGUGGCCUAAUGGUUACAGCUUGAUCCUUUUGGCGCUCAGAGGCAAACAGGUCGCGGGUUCGAAUCCCGCUGCUGCU